This 494-nucleotide ribosomal RNA is filed under the name uncultured bacterium. RNAcentral describes it as "partial 16S ribosomal RNA". It matches the Rfam family "Bacterial small subunit ribosomal RNA", at positions 28 to 507 of the family's 1533-position model. The record is from RNAcentral.
GACGAACGCUGGCGGCGUGCUUAACACAUGCAAGUCGAACGGAAAGGCCUGCUUCCCCUUGUGGAUUGCGGGUACUCGAGUGGCGAACGGGUGAGUAACACGUGAGUGAUCUGCCCCCAACUUGGGUAUAAGCCUGGGAAACUGGGUCUAAUUCCCGAUAGGACUGCAGGGUGGUGCCUGUGGUGGAAAACGAUUUUCUAGUGGUUGGGGAUGAGCUCGCGGCCUAUCAGCUUGUUGGUGGGGUAAUGGCCUACCAAGGCGGCGACGGGUAGCCGGCCUGAGAGGGUGGACGGCCACAUUGGGACUGAGAUACGGCCCAGACUACUACGGGAGGCAGCAGUGGGGAAUAGUGCACAAUGGGCGGAAGCCUGAUGCAGCGACGCCGCGUGGGGGAUGACGGCCUUCGGGUUGUAAACUCCUUUCGACCGCGAGGAAGCCACCUGGUUGGAAGGGUGGUGACGGUAGUGGUAGAAGAAGCACCGGCUAACUACGUG